Molecule: long non-coding RNA, 309 nt
Organism: Bufo bufo (common toad)
Lineage: Eukaryota; Metazoa; Chordata; Amphibia; Anura; Bufonidae
Exons: 2
Source: RefSeq, a predicted model, not a curated record
UCCAGCAUCCCCCAGCCCUUUGUGGUGAAGAAUGAUCGCAUCAAAAUCAGCCACGUCUACCUCUCAUGGCACAUCAUGCAGUGCGAACAAAAGGGAUGCCACACAAGCUUGCCGGAAGCUAACUGUGAUAGUGCCUGUGCUCCUAUUCUUUCAGGAAUGUUCUAAUGACGUGGCAGUUCUGGAAUCAUUCAGGGCUUUCAGUCCCUGGCGGAACACUAUAACUAUACAAGGCAUCUUCUAGAUGUUAGAAGACAAUUCAGGAGGGAAGGAAGGUCAACAAGAAAUUUCAACUCCGACCAAGAAAAACAA